CAAAAUGCAGAAAAUACACCCUCUCAUUCUCUUUACUUCUUCGCUUCAAGCGUAAACAGAGAUGAAAUAAUUUAUUUUCUCCCACUCUAAAAUCACAUAAUGGAAUACAUAUCUUAUUUACAAUCAAAAGCAUAAUCACGUUUGAAUGUUUUAAAAGGGAAGAAAUCAUGGGAAUACAUGUACCGGGAAAAUAAUGGUAACGAUGCGGUGAUGGCGGAGACAUUUGGGAUUUCACGACGGUGUGAAGAAGAUGGAACAUUUUUCGUUGGAUUGUGGAGGAAGGAUAAAAACGGAGGAAAUAUGAACGGCGAGUUGGUUUUGGAAUCGAAGGUAUGGUGUUUAGUGUUUCACGGCGACGAGAGUGAAGGGAGAUGACGGAAGCGGAAGGCGCGACAACCAAAGGUGCUGUUGUUGGUAAUGAAUAACAGAGGUGGAAUGAAGAAGAUGAGUGAGGUGAACGGCGGCGCUAUGUUGUUGGGUUGCAUGGAGGUCAGCGGUGGAAGGCGAAAGGAGACGCGGCGGUGGUGGUAGGGAAGAAGGGUGUUUCCGGCGAUGACGAUUGUUUGUCGUUCGCCGGUGAAGACGAGGUUAUGGGUUUUCGGAAGUGAGGACGGUUAAGGAAGAAUAUGAACCAUCUUCUUCUUUUCUGCAGAAGAAGAAGAGUGCGCGGUGGAUUCGUCGGCGAAAGGAACUUUUUGGCGGAUUGAGGGUUGUUGGAUGUGUUUUGUGUAGGCGGUUUCCGGCGGAAGGAGGAUGCGAUUUGAGGUAGGUAUGGUCAUCGUUUUUGUCGCGACGGAAGGUUGGGUUGUGGAAAGAGGCGGAGAUGAGAACGAGGUCGCCGGCGAGAUAGAGGUUGAAAGAGACAAAACGGAGGCGAAGGUUGUGCUGUUUGGUGGAGAUGUGAUUUGGGGAGUUUUUAUGGUGAUGUUGUUGAGGAAGAGAAACAAAUUGGAAUUUAUCAAGAUGAUGAACAGUAGCCUCCCUUUGUAUUUUCUUUUUCUUUUUUUCUUAAAGUUUGAAGGGGUGUCUUUUGUUAGAGAGAGAAGAGAGGACCAGUGAUGUGUCCCCCAAAAAAAUCAGCAGAGUUUUUUCUUUUCUAUUCUUCCCGUUGGAGAGAGAUCUUAGUGUGGAUAUCCUCUCUCUCUUUCUUCCUCUUUUGUUUUUUGUCUCAGAAAGAACCGUUGAGAGUGUGUUAUUGGUAUAUUUUUGCUAGCUGUCACCAGUAGUAUGUUACAGUUGGAG
Molecule: long non-coding RNA, 1242 nt
Filed under: Lathyrus oleraceus (garden pea)
Lineage: Eukaryota; Viridiplantae; Streptophyta; Magnoliopsida; Fabales; Fabaceae
Description: Pisum sativum (pea) long non-coding RNA (PSAT_LNC015211)
Source: RNAcentral